GCUCUCUUUGGCAGUGCAUGUACUAAAACUGGGAUAGUAUGGAGAAGACCAGCAUGGCUCCUGUGCAAGGAUGCAUGCAAAUCCGUGAAGUGUGACAUAUUUUU
Small nuclear RNA from Capra hircus (goat), 104 nucleotides. NCBI's taxonomy places the organism in Eukaryota, Metazoa, Chordata, Mammalia, Artiodactyla, Bovidae. The record is from Ensembl.